This 180-nucleotide long non-coding RNA is filed under the name Anas platyrhynchos (mallard). RNAcentral describes it as "lncRNA (ENSAPLG00020016609.1)". Lineage: Eukaryota; Metazoa; Chordata; Aves; Anseriformes; Anatidae. The record is from RNAcentral.
UGCUGUUUACAGCAAAUGGGAUCUAGCUCCUGUGAUUCAGUUCUCUGGCUCGUGGUGGGCAUCUAGCAUGCAUAACCCUUUUCUAUAGAGCUGCCAAAGAGGGAACUCACAGGAGCUGAAAUCACUUAGCAUCUUAAGACUGGUAUCAGAAUGGAGACCUGUAUCUCCAGGUACAGACCC